CAAUCCACGGAUUGGUCACAUGCAAGCUUGCAGAACUUGAGAAAACAAUAAUCGCUUCAAGAUAUAAAAUAAAAAAAUGUCGAAAAUAAUUUUAUUAUUGUCAAUUUUCGUAUUGAUUAGUCUCUAUGUUGGUGCAGAUGCAGCGUGUCCAGGCGGUUGGUGCCAUCCACAACAAGGAUACGGCUGUUGUGAAGGACAUAAAUGCAGUGACUGGUUGUUUCAAGGUACAUGCAUAACUGAUGGUAUGGCGGCAGCAAUGGCACUCGGAGGAUAAUUAUAACAAUACAAUGAAGAUUUAAAUGUAUUUUAUCAAUUAAUAAAAAUUUUUUAUAACAAAGAAAA
This is a long non-coding RNA of Microplitis mediator, 342 nucleotides long. RefSeq lists it as uncharacterized. The transcript has 3 exons. NCBI's taxonomy places the organism in Eukaryota, Metazoa, Arthropoda, Insecta, Hymenoptera, Braconidae. The record is from RefSeq and is a predicted model, not a curated record.